This is a long non-coding RNA of Tympanuchus pallidicinctus (lesser prairie-chicken), 2883 nucleotides long. RefSeq lists it as uncharacterized. The transcript has 2 exons. Lineage: Eukaryota; Metazoa; Chordata; Aves; Galliformes; Phasianidae. The record is from RefSeq and is a predicted model, not a curated record.
CAUGCUGUUAACACUGGAAAGUAGAAAAAGAGGAUUACAAAAAUAGGAUACAUGUUAAUGACUGUGUGUUCUCUCUGCUUCCUGACAAAAGUAAAACAAGAAUAAUAACCACUCUAAGAUGGAGCAAGAGAUGCAGGUUUCUCAGGAAGUCUUGUCAUCUAAACAGAUAGGAGCAAGGAAAGUGGUGUUCAGAUUUUACCUGGUUGGUUUUAGCUUGAGAUAGAUGCUCUGCAUCUGUCAAUCUGUCACCUGAGGCAGAAGACUGGGAAGAAUGAAAGGAUGCCUCCACACCUUACUGUAGAACAGGAGUGUGAUGUGCUUCAAAAGUGAAUCUUGAGAUUGUCCAGUUGUUACUCUUGUUAACAGUUUGAUGUUAGGAUGUAGGAGGUAUUUUCCUUUCAGAAGAAAUCAAAACAUACUGCAGAAGAAAACCUGACAUGUCCCAGCAGCAAGUGGAGCUUCAAAAAUACUGGCCCAGGCUAGGUAUAAUUUAAAGUAAAUUUAUCAAAAUAAUGUAGUUUGUGGGUAUAAACAAUUGCCAAUCACCAGUCCUUCUGUUCUACAGAUCUACUCCUGUUAAUUUACAUUUCUUACUGGUACGGACAGAGACUGAGAUAUUUAAGAUGACACAUUAACUGUGAAAGGGGAGUGGUGAUAGUGUUACAUUUUUUCCAAUGUGUGGAAUUUGUAUUCUGAUGGUAAAAAUGAAAGCAAAAUCAUAGUUCAUAUAUACAAAAUAAUAAUAAUAAAAAAAUCUAAUCCUACAGUAGCAAAAAUUCUGAGGACUGAAAGUUGAUAUUGCUGUGGUCUCUAAAAAGAAAUACUUUGACAUGUUAAAUUUGGACUGAGAAUAAAUUACAGACUAAAGUUUGAAGCAACUGGAGAGAUCCCUGGCACAUGCCCAACUGGCAAGUGUUCAUACAUUUCUUUAAUUCAGCUCAGUCUGUUUUCCCAGCCUUACAGCAGAAAGAUGGUUACUGAGUCUGGGACAGCUUACAUGUGAUUGUGAAUAUCUUGGUCAGGUGCCACCUACCUCCAUCUUUACGGAGGAAGAGCUUAACACAUUUGUGAUGAGGUAAAUUCUGUUGCAUUUUGCUGUAGCUUACCAACAAAGAAAGAACUGGCUAUUAGCUUUAAUAGUUGCAUAAUUGAAAAUGAACUGACCUCUUUCACAUGCUUGAAAAUAAAGCAAUCUUUUAUACUAAUAGAAUGGGUUUCAGUCAUGUCUUAAGAGUGCUGUUAGUCUGAAGUAAUAUUUGCCAGUUCAUACCACCUGCAAUUGUUAUUCAAUGUAUUAGUGACACUUGUUUGAAUCUGGGACUUGUUUGCCCAAUAUUCUUACCCUAGACCAGAGAUGACUGAAAACUCAGUCACCCUCAGGAAGUUGAAUUCUGCCAACCAGGGAGUGAGAUAUUGAUACUUAACCAAUACUAAGCUCACUUUGCAACGUGAAGGGAAGAGUCAGAGUCAAUGCCAGACUUUUUCUUGUUGUAAAACAGAAAAGAUAGAAGAGCAACUUCAGCACACCUGUUUUUUCAAGAUUUAAGCAUAGGAAAUGCUGUUUGUGUCAAUUUUAUCUAAAUUUGAAUUCAGCUCUGACAAAGUACAUCUCUGUACUUCAUAUGGUUUUGAAAGACACUUGAAAUUUAGGAGAGCGAAUAAGAGAAGGGAAGGGAUCCUUUGAAAAGGAAAAAUACCUUUGCUAGCACUCUCAUCAUAUAAACAUAAUUCCCAUUAUGUGGCUGAAUUGAUGAGGAAAGAAUACCUACUUUAAGCAGUUUCACUCUUUCACUUAGAGGACUACCAAUUUCUUGUAUUUGUCUUUGAUACAUUGUAGGGUCAUUACAGAAUGAAAUUACUUAUCAGAUGGAAUUAUCUAGGACUUUCCAAUUUUGAAUAAUGAUUAUCAGUAUUUCAAGGAGACACAAAGUUAAUACUUACAUGGUAGAAUUUGUCAAUGAGAUUGUUACAUGUCAAGGUGAAUAGAUUUGUGAAAGAGAAGAGGAAGUACUAGUGAGACUGAAGGCAAUGGGAAGAAAAGUUUGGAAGCCCUGGUCUGGACAAGAGCUGUUAUCUCUAUAUAUAAAAGUUUCAUUUUGCACUUGGAAGAGUCAGACUUGUUUUAAUACCAGAAUAAAUCAGUUGCUAAACUGUCUAAAAACUGUCUAUGCCUGGCAUGUUGAUAUCAACACUUACUUGAAUGGGUGUGGAAUUCAUCCCACAUACAUGGACCAUUCAUCAUGAACAAGCAAAUACGUUCCAAAGUCUAGGGGAAAAUAAUGUUACCUUAAAAAUUUGUUUUCUUCACAGUUUUUCUCUUCAUCAUGCAGUCCAGACGCUCUAUAAAGGCAGAAAAAUGGGAAUAUUCUUUGUAUUGUUUUCUUGAAAGAUAGAGUCAUUCUCUUUAUUCUCAUCUUGAGGAUUAAAGUCAGAUCUGACACCAGGUUGAUUUUUGUCUCUUUAAAACUACAGGAAGAUGAGACAAAUAUCAGAAGUCCCUAGUUUUUACAUGGUGCAUGUAGCAAAGUCACAAGCUGAAAGCUGUUCACUUUGUAGAAGGAAACAAGGACUGUUCAUAGUCCUGUGAGAUACAUAAACAAAGUUAUUUGAUGGAAGAAGGCGGUUGAUUCUUUUAAGAAUGUUAUGUAGCCCACUGAUAAAGAACUAUAGGUUAAAAUAAGCCAACAUCAGACUUCAGAAUAUGUUUUUCCAUAAUGUUUUGGAACACUGAAGAUGCUGUUCUGACUGUGCCUAAUUUCCACUUAUUAUAACAGGGCUUCUGAAAAACAAACACUUUAAGGUGUCUGUAUGAAGAUAGUCGUAUCAGCUCUUUAGCUUUACUAGAUGGCAUCUUGUUUUGGCAGAAGUAUUUAUAAAAUAGGG